Molecule: ribosomal RNA, 158 nt
Filed under: Russula fragilis
Lineage: Eukaryota; Fungi; Basidiomycota; Agaricomycetes; Russulales; Russulaceae
Description: 5.8S ribosomal RNA
Rfam family: 5.8S ribosomal RNA
About the family: 5.8S ribosomal RNA (5.8S rRNA) is a component of the large subunit of the eukaryotic ribosome.
Source: RNAcentral
CAACUUUCWACAACGGAUCUCUUGGCUCUCGCAUCGAUGAAGAACRCAGCGAAAUGCGAUACGUAAUGUGAAUUGCAGAAUUCAGUGAAUCAUCGAAUCUUUGAACGCACCUUGCGCCCCYUGGCRUUCCGAGGGGCACACCCGUUUGAGUGUCGUGA